This 460-nucleotide ribosomal RNA is filed under the name uncultured bacterium. RNAcentral describes it as "partial 16S ribosomal RNA". It matches the Rfam family "Bacterial small subunit ribosomal RNA", at positions 338 to 795 of the family's 1533-position model. The record is from RNAcentral.
CCUACGGGAGGCAGCAGUGAGGAAUAUUGGUCAAUGGGCGGGAGCCUGAACCAGCCAAGUAGCGUGAAGGAUGACUGCCCUACGGGUUGUAAACUUCUUUUAUACGGGAGUAAAAUGUUCCACGUGUGGGGUUUUGUAUGUACCAUAUGAAUAAGGAUCGGCUAACUCCGUGCCAGCAGCCGCGGUAAUACGGAGGAUCCGAGCGUUAUCCGGAUUUAUUGGGUUUAAAGGGUGCGUAGGUGGUUUUUUAAGUUAGUUGUGAAAGUGUGAGGCUCAACCGUAAAAUUGCAGUUGAUACUGGAAGUCUUGAGAACAGAUGAGGGAGGCGGAAUGUGUGGUGUAGCGGUGAAAUGCUUAGAUAUCACGAAGAACGCCGAUUGCGAAGGCAGCUUACUAGACUGCAUCUGACACUGAGGCUCGAAAGUGUGGGGAUCGAACAGGAUUAGAUACCCGUGUAGUC